RNAcentral lists this transfer RNA (77 nucleotides) under Vibrio sp. JCM 18904. RNAcentral's name for it is "tRNA-Met". It matches the Rfam family "tRNA". Rfam says of the family: Transfer RNA (tRNA) molecules are approximately 80 nucleotides in length. Their secondary structure includes four short double-helical elements and three loops (D, anti-codon, and T loops). Lineage: Bacteria; Pseudomonadati; Pseudomonadota; Gammaproteobacteria; Vibrionales; Vibrionaceae. The record is from RNAcentral.
GGCUACGUAGCUCAGCUGGUUAGAGCACAUCACUCAUAAUGAUGGGGGGGUCACAGGUUCGAAUCCCGUCGUAGCCA